Triticum dicoccoides is the source of this 1643-nucleotide long non-coding RNA. RefSeq lists it as uncharacterized. The record is from RefSeq and is a predicted model, not a curated record. The transcript has 2 exons. NCBI's taxonomy places the organism in Eukaryota, Viridiplantae, Streptophyta, Magnoliopsida, Poales, Poaceae.
UCAGAAACCUCGUGAAUCCUGAGUCAUUAUUUGGUAGCCGGGGUUUGCAAGAGGGCACCCCCUGUGAUCCCCGAAAUUCCCCCUGAUCUAGGUGGUUUAGAAGCCCCGACGGGGGCCUCGUGGAAUGAAGGGGAAAAGAGGAGACGAACAGAAAAAGAGGAUGGGGGGAGGCCGCCAUCGUCGCUGCCGCCGCCUCCACGACGCCGGUGUCCCUUCUCCGGAAGACAAACCGGUCCUUCUCGCCAGAGGCAUGGAUUUUUCCCCAAGAUGAUCUGAGCUUCAGAUAAACCUGGAUGAUUGCUGCAUAUAUAACACGCAAAGAAACUGUUGGUAUGAAAUUCGACAGAUUUGUGAUGAGUUCUGUAGUAGCAACUAGCAACCAUGAGCUCCAUUUUUGGGUGUUUGUCGGUUUCUAAAAUUGGAAUUCUGAAGCAAACGAAUUGAUUGUAGCGAUGGUAGAUAGGUUAGGUAGUAUGUGGACACGAAAGUAUCGAUAGCUACCCGACCCUAGGCUGUAGCAACAGCCACCAAAAUCUGUAGAUAUUGUAUUGGCAAUAUUCUGCCAAGCUUAGAAUAAAUAUAUAUUAUCCCAAGCUUGGUGUAUAUUCAUUUUUAUUUGCAUUUGUUUCUAUUUAUACCUAGCGCCAGGUGCUCAUUCAGUUGCACAAGUUUGGCUGGAUGAAUCGUGCUUAUAAAUAUUCUUUAUACCUUGUAUUCUACAAGUCAUCGUCGGUCAGUCAAUAGGUGGAUGUUUGUUUCUAGUAUGAAUGAUUAUGUGCCAUCUUACAUGCCUGUUCCGAGUUUUCCUUUGCCUGAAUCUUAAUCAGUUCACGGGUAAGAUCUUACACGUUUUGUUUCUGGUUCUGUAUCCUAUUCGAAGUUGGCAUGUAUUACUUUUGUUGAAGAAGACAUGAAGAUUCAGUCUUCUGGUCAUCUUUUUUCAGCAGUUCGUUAUGGUUUUGUAAACUUUUGGGAAUUUUGUCAGCAGUUGUUGUUAGGAAGAUGUAGUACUACUACCUUAUUGUGGAGGUUUCUAACUGUUUACCAAUGAGAUUGUAGUUCUCAUACGAUUCUGUUGCUGCUAUUGGGUGAUCCUUCAUAUUGUGUUUGUAUAUGUUUUCUGGUUUAUAAAGGUCAUAGUGAUUAUUUUGGUGGAUUCCCCCUUGUUAGUUUAUUGUUUCAGGUUGCAUCCGCAAUUAAGAUUUGAUAAGUAGCCGCCUCCUAUCUUCCAGGCAAAUGCUUGACCGAUUCUUUUUUUCCAUUCACUUGAGAAAGGCAGCAUUAAUACUAAUCUAUUGAUAUGAUUUUGAAUUUGUGCAGUGCAAUGGUGGACAUUUAGCUCGUGGCACAUGCCUUGCCGAGCUCCCCAGCAGAUAGUGCCUGACUUGCAAGCACGACGCAGUGGAUGAUAUUGUCUCGCCGGCAAGGAUAAAGUGCUCCUACGAUGGCUACCAGAGUGACGUCACCUAGCACGAGGUUGACCAUCAUAGUGCUUCUAUAGUUCUGUAGCAACAUGAUUAGUUUUGUAUGUGGAUUCUACUCGUAGCAAGUUUUUUAUGUUAUGAUGCUGUUUUGCUUGUAAAGAUUGGAUUUUUGCAUGUUUUGCACCAUCUUAUAUCAAUAUGCAAAUCCUGCCUACCAAA